Long non-coding RNA from Protopterus annectens (West African lungfish), 849 nucleotides. RefSeq lists it as uncharacterized. The transcript is spliced from 5 exons. NCBI's taxonomy places the organism in Eukaryota, Metazoa, Chordata, Ceratodontiformes, Protopteridae. The record is from RefSeq and is a predicted model, not a curated record.
ACAUGGUGCAAUGCCUUACUCUGCUAAGAGGAGCCAGUGCUUGUUGCUGCUUACAGAGGAUUCACAAACUGCUGUGCUUUGCAGUGCAGUACUAGACCUUCCUCCAGAUAGUGCUUCUGUGGAGGAAUACCACCAACCAACUCCACGCUAGACAGCCAACCUUGGCUUCUCACUCAGAUCCAUUGCUGGAAAAAUAAUCCAUCCCCACACUGUAUUUUGCAGGUAACUACAGUCUCAUGUAUUUGUAAUUUCUCCUUUGAGUUUUGCUGUAAGAUUAUCCGAGUGCACUAAUAUUGUUGCAGAGGAGAAAUACCCUGAGUGUAUAAAACUUCCUGAGGGUUUCAGGGCAGAAUUCAUGACAAUAAGAAGUCUGAAAAUGCCAGGGAGCGAAAUGAAAAUUGUUUGGAAGAUUAACGUUAAUGAAGAAGGAAUUGUUUCACCUACAAUUGACCUUUUGCCCAAGGUACCAGAACAAGUGCUUGCCAUUGACAAUGAGGAUGUCAUGGGACGUGCUCCUCGCUGCUUCAGAAACAUGCUGCACCUGGCUGGGAUAGAGGCAUCUAUCAAUAAUUUAGUUAAAACAUUUUGUAUGGGAGACUGAUAAUAUAAAAACAAUUAACAGUAGCUAUUUCAGAAGUUAUAGAUUUUAUUUUUAAUGAAUAUAAACACCUCUUAUUUACAAACAUUUCUAAUAAAUUCAUCUGUACAUCUUUGUGGCACACUAUAUAUAAAUUUUCAAGACAAGAAAAAUAAAUACAGCCAUUUAAAUACAAAAAUCCCAAACUAAACAGUUAAUGUACAAUGAAUUACAUUACAAAUCUACAAUAAAAAGAGUGAUUUUUGAAUUAC